This 376-nucleotide unclassified non-coding RNA is filed under the name soil metagenome. RNAcentral's name for it is "partial contains 5.8S ribosomal RNA, internal transcribed spacer 2, and large subunit ribosomal RNA". The stretch from base 1 to 120 matches the Rfam family "5.8S ribosomal RNA", at positions 35 to 154 of the family's 154-position model. The record is from RNAcentral.
GAUGAAGAACGUAGCGAAAUGCGAUAAGUAAUGUGAAUUGCAGAAUUCAGUGAAUCAUCGAAUCUUUGAACGCUUCUUGCGCUCCUUGGUAUUCUGAGGAGCAUGCCUGUUUGAGUGUCAUUAAAUUCUCAACUACACUGACUUUGAAUUGGUGUGGCUUGGAUUUGGGGGGAAAAUUGUUGUGGGCUUUUUGUAUAGUCUGCUCCCCUGAAAUUGAUUAGCGGUACCUUUGUGGAACUGUCUACAGGUGUGAUAAUUAUCUACAUCAUAGACAUCUGCUGGAAUGCUGCUUUCUAAACCUUACUUGUAUUGACAAUCUUGACCUCAAAUCAGGUAGGACUACCCGCUGAACUUAAGCAUAUCAAUAAGCGGAGGA